Molecule: long non-coding RNA, 3887 nt
Organism: Camelus dromedarius (Arabian camel)
Lineage: Eukaryota; Metazoa; Chordata; Mammalia; Artiodactyla; Camelidae
Exons: 5
Source: RefSeq, a predicted model, not a curated record
CACUGGCUAACCCAGAAAGAGUGCUGGAAAUUGCUGGUAGUUACUGCUACGAUGGGAAAGGACCUCCAAGGUGGGAGCAAUUGUCUUUUCUCGGCUGGAAGCUAUUCUGAAGACUAAGACCCUUCAAGGACUGUAACCUGAAAGGUUUGGGGAUCCUUGACAGAGAUCACGAUGGCCACCACUUUGCCAGUUUCUUGUAACAAUGAAGUGAGACAAAUGCCUCAGGAUUCUGAGAGACAGAAAAUAGUAAAAAGAGGGUUCUUGAAAUUAUUUUUUUUCAAGAAGUCUUUUUUAUUUUCUACUCAAGAAAGCCAUAAGUAAUUUCCAGCUAUUGCCUCACUGGUUUCUCCAUCCAUUACUAUCUGGUUGUGAUAGGUAGAAUUUUGGAUCCAAGAUUUUUGCACUCUGAUAUUAUUCCUGAGGUUAUGCUAUAUUAAUUGGCAAAAGAGACUUUGCACAGGUAAUUAAGGUUACUAAUCAGUUGGCCUUAAAAUAGGGAUAUUAUCUGAGUGGGUCCAAUGUAGUUAUGUGAGCCAUUAAAAGCUAAGGGCAGAAGAGAAAGGCAGAGAGAUUCCAGGCAUGAGAAGGAUUCAGUGUGCCGUUGCUGGCUCUGAGAUAGAGGGGCCAUGUGCAAGGACCAGGGAGAGGCCUUUUGAAGCUAAAGCAGCCCCCCGGUUGACAAUCAUCAGGGAAACAGAGACCUUAGUCCUACAACUGCAAGGACCUGAACCCUGCUGACAACCUGAAUGAGUUUGGAAGUGGAUUCUUCCCCAGAACCUCCAGAAAGGAAUGCAGACUUGCCGAUUUGACUUAGGCCUUGUCAGACUAAUCAGAGAACCCAGUGGACCUAUGCCGCAUGCUGACUUCUGACCUACAGAAACUAAUUUACUCAAGACUUUUACUUUGUGGAGAGGACGGAGUGUGGACACGGGAAGUGGCACAUUAUGGAGUACUUGGCUUCUGCCUCUUGGCGUCUCUCCUGAGGACCCUGGGACACCCUUCGUUUGUUACUCACAGUUGUGAGGCCAGACUGUCUGCAGCCACCUUGCCUCCAGCCUGAGGAGGAAGCAAAGCACAGAGGAGGGCAGCGUUGGAAGAUCAAGGGGAUUGUUUAAAAUAGCUUAAGCAUCCAGAGAACCAACAAACCCCCAAAUUUCUAACGUGGUACUUUGCAAAUAAUGGAAACGUCAUUUCCAAGGAAAUUGAAAUGUUCCGCUAGAUCAUAAGCCUCCGGAGAAGAGCGUUACGCUUCGUAUGACUGUCUCCUUGGCCACUAGCACCAGACAUGAUACAUGGCAAAUUUUCGAGACUGGAGGUCAGAUUAUUGGCUACUGUGAUGAUUUCCUAGUCUGGAUACUCAAAUCAUAUCCUACCAAUCUUCUCUAUCUUCCAAAGGUCGUUCUGGGGAAGCUAAUUGAAAGUACUACUCCCAGUAGCAAUCUAGCUCCCAAUUUAGGACUCUGUGAUGAAACUGGGAAGGAGACAUGACUUGGGUCUUGGGUUUUGAGAGACGUGAGCCUGAGGAAGGAGGUAGUGGGUCUCUUACUUCCCCACUGCCCCCUAACCAAAUCUUAGGAUCAUAAUGCUCAGGAAUGCCCACGGACAGACAGAGACAAAGAGGAGAGAAAGGUGGAUUGUCCCCAGAGAGUCUCUGGGAACAUUUCCCAGCUUGUGGACUAGAAGAGGAAGACUAAUAAGGAUGCCUGACCCACCUCUGGCACCAGGACCGACCUGGGUCUGAGGCAGAAAGGUAAGCAGUUUACCUGGGUGCUGAUUUUAGGGCAAAGUCAUCCUCCCUGCUAGAAAAAAUGGCCCCACUGAAUGUCCUGAUCGAUCAAGAUUAGCAAUUCCCCCUCUUUAAGGGGAGAGCUAAUAAGAGGAGUAGUUGAACAGGAAGGAAGAUGGUGGAGUUCCCACCCCCAGGGUGAGCACUCAGUACGCGUUUGUUAAAAGAAUGAAUGAAGCCAGGCAGUGUUGCUAGGGAGUUGUUACUAUGAGAAAUACCAUUUGCAUGCAAAUUUUACAUUAUUAGCAAUUAGGAGCCUCUAGCAAGGAGCCUGAUGGAAGGGCCAAUAUGUUGCUUUUCUGAAUAAGAUGUGAAUGGAGAGGAACACCUCUAGCUUUCCGCAGAGCAUGAAACAGAGGCUUGGCUUUAGUUAUAUCAUGUUUGAGACUAUGAUGUCAGGUAAAUAAGUUCUGGAGGCACUACAGAAGCAGGAAUGAAUUGCAUGUGAAAGUUCAGAAUAUUGGAUCUCCUAUUCUCUUCUCCAACCCAGUUUCCUUUUCCUCACAAAUGGAAAAAGGAAAAUCCAAGCCCUAGUUCCUAUGAGAUGCCAAAUUGAGCCAGAGCUAGUUGUGAUGUUUGGCUUGCAUACUUUAAAGGCUAAUGGAAACUGGGGACAAAUUAGGAAAUAUUAUGCAGAUGAUUAAAAAGUUCAGAAGCACCCGAAGUGGAAGUUACGCCAUCCAAAGGAGAUGGUGGGGACAGCUCUACCCACUUGAAAGAGUCUUUAUCUCAGCUAAAACAUAGCAGAGGAAAAGUUCUGAAGUUGCCUCAAGAUAGAUUUAGGACUGGGAGAAAUUUCUGAUGAGGAUUAUGAAAACAAUCAGGAAAUCCACUUACAUAUCCUCACCCUAGAGUGUGGAGCCUGGGAGGUGAUAAAAAAUGUUUUUUGAGUGAAUGAUCAGGUCAUGGAAUCAUUCUUGACUUUCGCUUUGGGUAUAAAUGCUUUGCAUUUUUGACACUUUAGGAAUAAAGAAAACUGACCGGAUGAUUUCUCACAUUCCUUCCAGCUCCUUAAUCCUACAAACGGCUCAAAUUAGUUGAUUAUUUACUCCAGGAGACCCUAAAGGGUAUCUAGAGGUCACAGGUAAUCUCAUCUUUGGGGCAUGAAUCCACACUCACACCCUGAUUUUCCACCAGAAACGUUUAGACUUUUUCUCCAUUGGAAAAGCACGGUCACUGUUUCCUUUCUAUCGUGCCGUUAGUUAUUCUAAUCACUGAGGCUGUGUUACGUCCCUCUGAUACACAUCAGUUCGAGCUAUACAUGUGCUGUAAGGAGGGGAGAGCGAACCUCUCAGCUGUAGUCAAAAUUGGUUUCCUGAAUGAUGCUGCACGGUUUAACUGGAAUUUGCAUAGUAUUCUAGUGGAAAAAAAAAAAGAUGGGGGUGGAGGGAAGGGUUCCUUUGGUUUUCAGGCUGUUAACUGUAAUUAGCCUGGUUUCUGAGAUGUAAUUAUCUUGCAAUCUCAAAGCAAACACCCUGGAGGAAAUUGCACUGUUAAAGACAGCAUGGCAUUAAAAAUAAAUUAUUACCCUGGUGCCUGCUAUGGCUGCUCAUGCUUUGUGAUUUGUUGGGGUUUCUGUGAGCAAGUGCUUGUUUAGGGCUGGAGUUGUGCAGCCAUGUUGCCACUGUUUGUACUGGAGAGGUGGGAGGCAUGGCUUGCUUGGUUGUUAUACUGAUGUGAAAAUUUACCAUUAUGGUGGCAAAGCCUGGUGUUGUGCUAUCCACGCUCCCCUCUCCAAUCCUCAAUCACCAAGAGACCCAGGGUCAAGGAAAGAGCACUGGGAGUCCUCUUUCGCAGCUGGCACUGAUGAACGAGCGGAGAGGAGCAUCAUAAACUACAGCUCAGGCAACUCAAAUGAUUCACAAGGAAAAAUUGUGAGGAAGCAAGAAUUACCCCACCUAUCUUAGGGCCAAACACUGAGGGAUCAUGAGUCGUCCUCACUGACCGAUCACAGAGGCUGGAAAGACCACAUCAUGGGAUUUGGAAUCAGAGACUUGUGGGUCUGAACAUACGAUUGUGCAGGUUGUAUACUGCACAAACAGUCCCCACUGAGGGGACGGGGGAGGCUGACAUUCCACCAAUGUCCCCUGACCAAGCUGUG